Long non-coding RNA from Hibiscus syriacus, 942 nucleotides. RefSeq lists it as uncharacterized. The transcript is spliced from 4 exons. NCBI's taxonomy places the organism in Eukaryota, Viridiplantae, Streptophyta, Magnoliopsida, Malvales, Malvaceae. The record is from RefSeq and is a predicted model, not a curated record.
CUAUGUUGAGUUUCGAUGUCCUAUGUUAAAGGUUGAUCUUUUUAUUUGUUUCCUUCGAACAUGGUACGCUCAUCAUACAUGGGUGUGGAUAGAGGAGUUGCUUUUGUAGACCAAAAGCCUAGUCAGAUAAUUUGUAGGUGUGGCUUGGAUCUUGACUCCUGGACAGGGUCACGGAGAUGGUUGGUAGGAAUACUUUGUAAACUGGAAAGAUGGUUGGUUGACAAUUUGUUUUGGUAUGUAUGUUUUACUUUAUGGAUGAGCAAUCAGGUACGAAUCGGUUCUGUAAUUAAUGAGUCUCAUUUGGGAUGUAAUAAGUUUAUUUUAUUGUAUAGUUAUCUUCGUUUGGGUUGUAAUAAGGCUAAUCUCUUGUUCAUUUAUUUUCGAUUGGGUUGUAAUAAUUUAAACUUAGGUAGCUGGCAUUUAGGGUGUCAUAGGUUAUGCUUUACUGCUUGGAUUUAUGGCCUUCUUAGGGCAUGUAUUGUCCUUCAACGAUAUAUGAUCACUUUGGGAGUGGCAAGAAAGGCUCUUUGGGAGGACUUCAUACAAAGGCAACACUAUUUCCAUAUGCAUGAACGAUAUGGUUCAUGGUGAGGCAUUCUAUGGUAAUCAUGAUUCGACCAGAAAUCAUAUUCAGUUAUUGUUGGGGGAAAAGUAGUGUCGAUGAGAUCAGAGGCUUGGAGAGUUAUUUCGGUGCCUAAGGUGAGGAUGAUUGGAGGAAAAAUGGUUCAUCAAUUCUUGGUGGUUAUUUGGUUAACGUUUGGGGUCGAAUUGUGUGGUUGCGCCAUCAAGGUGAGUGGUUGUCCAUUCACUUAUGAUGAACUUGUUUAAUGUUUAAUGAAAGUUUAGAUAUGUGUGAACUUUGAACUUUAGAUUCUAAAUUGGUAUACUUGCUGUUGAUAAUUGAUUGUGUGAAUUCGUGAUGUGUAGAUUAAAGUUUGUGAU